UGGGGAAUUUUCCGCAAUGGGCGAAAGCCUGACGGAGCAAUGCCGCGUGGAGGUGGAAGGCCUACGGGUCGUCAACUUCUUUUCUCGGAGAAGAAACAAUGACGGUACCUGAGGAAUAAGCAUCGGCUAACUCUGUGCCCG
This 141-nucleotide ribosomal RNA is filed under the name uncultured bacterium. RNAcentral describes it as "partial 16S rRNA". It matches the Rfam family "Bacterial small subunit ribosomal RNA", at positions 355 to 511 of the family's 1533-position model. The record is from RNAcentral.